AUUAAUUUUUGCAAGAAAUAAUAGAAGAUGGUAUUAAGUCUUUCAACAAAAAAAGUGUAUCAAAUAUUUCUACAAGUUGCUCACUCAAAUGGUUGGGCCUAGUUUUUACUGAGAUGGAUGGGAUGCUAAACCAUAAAACAUCACCAUCUUUUUUAUAAAAAGCCAUAGUUUCUAUGAGUAGAGCUCUUGUAAUAGUAGGUGUUAAAACUUCUAUUAAAGUGGGCUUUUUUUUUAGAAGAACAAUUGGACUAUUUGUAUCCAAGUCAACUCCAUUUAAUUUUGAUGGCCUAAUAUUAUAUUAUGUGUAUUCUUACUUGAAAAUGCACCAGGCUUGUAGCUAUCAAAGUAAAAAUAUAAAAACAAUCCUACCAAGUCUAAUAGAAUCUUAAAUAAUCUUAAGUAGAUCUAAUAAUCUUAAUUAAACUUUGAUUAAUCUAAAAUAAAUUUAAAUGAAGUUAUAAAAGAAACUUAAAGAAGUUCCAAAGUAAUCCAAAAUAAAUAACAUGAAAUCUUAAAGAAAUAUAAAAAUAAACCUUUGAAAAAAUAACAAUAAUCUUAAAGACAUAUUAGAAAUAGAUUUUUUUUAAAAAAAUAAUAAAAAAUAAUAAAAAUAAAAAACCGAAUAUAGUCUCAAUUAAAAUCCUAAUAUAAUCCUAAUUAAAACCUUAAUCAAAUCCUAAUUAAAAUCCUAGUUGAACCUUAAUCAAAUCCUAAGUCAAAUCCUAAUUGAAUCUUAAUCAAAUCCUAAGUCAAAUCUUAAUUGAAUCUUAAUCAAAUCUUAUGUCGAACUUUAAUCAAUUCCUAAUCAAGUUCAAAAU
RNAcentral lists this long non-coding RNA (818 nucleotides) under Physcomitrium patens. RNAcentral's name for it is "long non-coding RNA (PPAT_LNC005424)". Lineage: Eukaryota; Viridiplantae; Streptophyta; Bryopsida; Funariales; Funariaceae. The record is from RNAcentral.